Molecule: ribosomal RNA, 468 nt
Filed under: uncultured bacterium
Lineage: Bacteria
Description: partial 16S ribosomal RNA
Rfam family: Bacterial small subunit ribosomal RNA
Source: RNAcentral
GACGGACGCUGGCGGCGUGCUUAACACAUGCAAGUCGAACGGAAAGGCCCUGCUUUUGUGGGGUGCUCGAGUGGCGAACGGGUGAGUAACACGUGAGUAACCUGCCCUUGACUUUGGGAUAACUUCAGGAAACUGGGGCUAAUACCGGAUAGGAGCUCCUGCUGCAUGGUGGGGGUUGGAAAGUUUCGGCGGUUGGGGAUGGACUCGCGGCUUAUCAGCUUGUUGGUGGGGUAGUGGCUUACCAAGGCUUUGACGGGUAGCCGGCCUGAGAGGGUGACCGGCCACAUUGGGACUGAGAUACGGCCCAGACUCCUACGGGAGGCAGCAGUGGGGAACAUUGCACAAUGGGCGGAAGCCUGAUGCAGCAACGCCGCGUGCGGGAUGACGGCCUUCGGGUUGUAAACCGCUUUCGCCUGUGACGAAGCGUGAGUGACGGUAAUGGGUAAAGAAGCACCGGCUAACUACGUG